This 231-nucleotide ribosomal RNA is filed under the name uncultured bacterium. RNAcentral's name for it is "partial 16S ribosomal RNA". It matches the Rfam family "Bacterial small subunit ribosomal RNA", at positions 118 to 347 of the family's 1533-position model. The record is from RNAcentral.
UGGGCAACCUGCCCUCAGCUCUGGGAUAACUCCAAGAAAUUGGGGCUAAUACCGGAUAUGACUGCUGACCGCAUGGUCUGGUGGUGGAAAGAUUUAUCGGCUGGGGAUGGGCCCGCGGCCUAUCAGCUUGUUGGUGGGGUAGUGGCCUACCAAGGCGACGACGGGUAGCCGGCCUGAGAGGGUGACCGGCCACACUGGGACUGAGACACGGCCCAGACUCCGUACGGGGAG